Non-coding RNA from Aedes aegypti (yellow fever mosquito), 73 nucleotides. The record is from Rfam. NCBI's taxonomy places the organism in Eukaryota, Metazoa, Arthropoda, Insecta, Diptera, Culicidae.
GCUCUCAUGGCGUAGUGGUAACGCGCCCCAACUAGAGAUCGGGGAGUCGUGAGUUCGAUUCUCACUGAGAAGA